RNAcentral lists this transfer RNA (77 nucleotides) under Dokdonia sp. Hel_I_53. RNAcentral describes it as "Dokdonia sp. Hel1_53 tRNA-Arg". It matches the Rfam family "tRNA". Rfam says of the family: Transfer RNA (tRNA) molecules are approximately 80 nucleotides in length. Their secondary structure includes four short double-helical elements and three loops (D, anti-codon, and T loops). Further hydrogen bonds mediate the characteristic L-shaped molecular structure. tRNAs have two regions of fundamental functional importance: the anti-codon, which is responsible for specific mRNA codon recognition, and the 3' end, to which the tRNAs corresponding amino acid is attached (by aminoacyl-tRNA synthetases). tRNAs cope with the degeneracy of the genetic code in two manners: having more than one tRNA (with a specific anti-codon) for a particular amino acid; and 'wobble' base-pairing, i.e. permitting non-standard base-pairing at the 3rd anti-codon position. RNAcentral also lists the same sequence under 1 other name. The record is from RNAcentral. Lineage: Bacteria; Pseudomonadati; Bacteroidota; Flavobacteriia; Flavobacteriales; Flavobacteriaceae.
GGCCUCGUAGUUCAACUGGAUAGAAUAUCAGAUUUCGGCUCUGACGGUUGGGGGUUCGAAUCCCUUCGAGGUCACAA